Molecule: ribosomal RNA, 537 nt
Filed under: Mycolicibacterium neworleansense
Lineage: Bacteria; Bacillati; Actinomycetota; Actinomycetes; Mycobacteriales; Mycobacteriaceae
Description: bacterial SSU rRNA
Rfam family: Bacterial small subunit ribosomal RNA
Source: RNAcentral
UGCUUAACACAUGCAAGUCGAACGGAAAGGCCCUUCGGGGUACUCGAGUGGCGAACGGGUGAGUAACACGUGGGUGAUCUGCCCUGCACUUUGGGAUAAGCCUGGGAAACUGGGUCUAAUACCGAAUAGGACCGCGCUCUUCAUGGGGUGUGGUGGAAAGCUUUUGCGGUGUGGGAUGGGCCCGCGGCCUAUCAGCUUGUUGGUGGGGUAAUGGCCUACCAAGGCGACGACGGGUAGCCGGCCUGAGAGGGUGACCGGCCACACUGGGACUGAGAUACGGCCCAGACUCCUACGGGAGGCAGCAGUGGGGAAUAUUGCACAAUGGGCGCAAGCCUGAUGCAGCGACGCCGCGUGAGGGAUGACGGCCUUCGGGUUGUAAACCUCUUUCAAUAGGGACGAAGCGCAAGUGACGGUACCUAUAGAAGAAGGACCGGCCAACUACGUGCCAGCAGCCGCGGUAAUACGUAGGGUCCGAGCGUUGUCCGGAAUUACUGGGCGUAAAGAGCUCGUAGGUGGUUUGUCGCGUUGUUCGUGAAA